Molecule: transfer RNA, 82 nt
Filed under: Madurella mycetomatis
Lineage: Eukaryota; Fungi; Ascomycota; Sordariomycetes; Sordariales
Rfam family: tRNA
About the family: Transfer RNA (tRNA) molecules are approximately 80 nucleotides in length. Their secondary structure includes four short double-helical elements and three loops (D, anti-codon, and T loops).
Source: Rfam by way of RNAcentral
GGGCGACUAGUCUAGUGGUCAGGACGCUUCGUUGUGGCGAUGCAAUUCCGAAGAAACCCAGGUUCGAUUCCUGGGUCGCCCA